UUUCUUUGAGGCUCACUGGGUAGACGGGAUAGGGAUUGGGCGAGAGCAGAGGGAGGGAUCCUGCGUCGGCGGGUGGCUUAGUUUAGGGCAGCAGCCCGAGCAGACGGAGCGGUACUGGCUACUUACGCAGCCGACGCCGGUGCGGGGGAGAGGUUUGCCGCCGCUACGACCUCCCUCGUCGAGUGCGACGGUCCGAGGGCUGGCUUGCGCAGCCCAGUAGAGAGGAGCUCCGGUUGGGGAGGAUAAGUGGCGUAGAGAGGGACUGAGGCAGAGGAGGUGCUCUACAUCGUGGUGGGGUGCGGUACCUGCGGGAACGACCAACGUAGAGAGGUACGCGGCGGUUAGGAUACUGUGGCGACGGGCCGUCAGAGGUGGUCGUGGUGCUGCCCGCACCGGAGACGUGCGCGGCAGUGGAGGGGAGAUCUAGGCCGGCAGCAGCUCCCGUAUAGGUAGGUCGUCACGCGGCAGUGGAGGGGAGGUCUAGGUCGGCAGCAGUUCCCGCAUAGGUAGGUCGUCGCGCGGCAGUAGGGUUAGUAGUGGCAGGUGCCGCAGUAGCGGGUCCGGGUCAGUGCCCGGCCGUUCUGGAGGUACUAGAGGGAGAAGCAGACGGUCCAGUAACUCUGGUUGCAGGUGCUCACUAAAGGCGUAUCGAAAACACAUACUGCCGACCUCCUGGUUGAGUCUGGAGCGAACGGAGUCCCAGUCCUCCAGGUUCCGCGGUGUUCUGGCCCGGUCCUCAAACGCAUUUGGACCCGGUCCUCAAAUAAACUAUUUCCGAAGUUAAACGCGGGGUAAAGUACCUAAUUGCUACGGUUCUCGUAUGGUAAACAUGUUUCAGGGUUCUAGCUACAGAAGAGUGUAUAGAGUGUAUUAUUGAUGAGCACGAGACAAAAAAAGAAACAUAAGUCCAAAGGUCUUACUAACCGGUGUGGAUGGAUUUUUCAAGCCUUAAAUUGGUACUCGGGGAAGACCGGACCAAGGUAUAAGGUUCCGGGAAGGUAUUAGGUUAAGAAACAGGGCUUGGUGGGUAACUUCUUGUAUCUGACACGUCUUAUAGUCAAACAAUAUAAACGUAGUCUACUUGAUACCCUCGUGAACUUGUUAGUCCUUCAACACCUAUAUCAAGUAACAAAUGGAGCCUUACAUCUACUAAACGGUAUGAAGGAGUAUAUAAUGAGAAAGGGUCACAUGAUUUUAUACGAAGGGUAAAAUCAGAACGGAAUAUAACAACUAUACAUUGGGUUUAUCCAAUUUGGCUUACAACAUAGCUUUGUACAUCAUAAAUGAACGUUUUCUCGUUGACUCUCGGACCACCCAGCCCUACUUCCUUCUUAUGGGGACUCUCGGGUUUGAGCUCAAGCUUUUAUAUACGUCUUAUAUACAAACGGAGACGAUAUAUGUAUACAUUAAAAGGUCAGACACAAAAGACGAGGAGAAACCGCGUUACACCUUCUACAACCAAAAUUUCCGAUCGUCCCUUCGGUCACUACCUCAUUAGUCACCAAAUACUCCAGUACCUCGGGUUCUGGCCUACGUCGUCUUCUUCGUCGCAGCAACGGCACGUGAUUCUUCCAGUUGUCUCAGACACUCCGCCUUCUAGGUAUCGUAUGUCGCCUACGCAACCUAUACGGUAAGGAGUUACACAUGGACCUAAGAGAAACCCGUGGGUUAAAAACCCGUCCACAAUAAGAUCGUCGGGCGAAGCGAAACCAGAAGUCUAAUUCGUUAAGAGACGUAAGUUCCCUUUCCAGUUAUCGACGAGAGGUUUCGGUUGCGGCCAGACAUAAGUAGACGACUUAGUCCAACCGGUGCUGCUCCUCUGCCUGUGCUGGCGCAGCAGGGUAGCUGGAGGCCCCGGAAACUAUAGAGUCCCACACACAGUACAAUACAACCCAAAGGACACUAAAGCCACGCCCAUCGAUGUAUCGCAGGCACCCGGUACGCACACUGUACGUACGAUCCAUUAGAACUGAGGACACGCUGCCACGACCUUGGCGGAGGCGACCAAUGCCGGCGGCACCGAUACGAACUUCCGUCUUAGUGGUGCUACUGACAUCAACGGCGUGAGUCUAGUCUUGCCGUCGGUGCCAUAUACUAGUUCGGAAAUGACAGCAGGAGACUUAAACCCUAGUGCACGUAGACGUUCUCUUUCUCGUACUCUCGGAUUCUCCCAUCAUGGUGCAAUGCUUGUUCAACUAAAAAUAGGUACCUUAACUAGACUACGCUUCGACUACGGUGUAUUUUCCUGGUUCCUUACUUGUGCUUCGUUUAAUAUUGAGAGUCCAAGUACCAAAUCCUCGUCCUUUCUUGUGAAGGUUAACACAUCUACCCAGUAGUCAUCGUAAAGAGAUUAAUAAGAAUAUCUCUGACUAAACCUAACAACUUCCUUUCCUAGAGUUAAGAGUUAUCGUUUGACGUGACCCUGUAGAACCUGGAUAAGAGGUGUAAAGACUCGAUCCAACCUGUCGUACAGUACCCCCCUUUAGUAAAGAAGGAAGGUUAGGCACCCGAUUUAAACAAUAGUGGUACAAAAUUUAAGGCACAGUAGGAACUUGAAAACUCCUUAACAAUCUAUACAACCACUCGCCCGUCCGCCACGAUCUGUACCAUCCCGUUCUCUCGUGCUCCCUCUUACAGCUUCCCCCGUUGUAUUUACUCUCAAGUGGCAAUACGAGUACACCAGUCUUGGAUCUCGUACCUAUGUUCUGGAGGUAGCAGCAGAUACCUGUAGUCUCGUCUCUUCACUACUACCUGUAAUCUGGUCGCUUCUGUCACUCGUACCCGAGGAUCUGCUAUGAAUAGUAUAGUAUAAGAGUCAUAUAUCAGUUUUUGACAUACGGUGUAUAUGCAACACUUAAUGAUACUAUAAACUAGUUACUUAAAUAAAGAUUUUUUUAUACACCGUUGUGUGCCG
RNAcentral lists this ribosomal RNA (2914 nucleotides) under Triticum aestivum (bread wheat). RNAcentral describes it as "partial small subunit ribosomal RNA". The record is from RNAcentral. Lineage: Eukaryota; Viridiplantae; Streptophyta; Magnoliopsida; Poales; Poaceae.